GGACAGCCCCCCACUCGCACGGACUCUGAACCCCUCUAGCCCUCUCCUCAUUCCUCUCUUUCCUUUCGCUCUCUUCUCACCGCUGUUUCUGCGCGUAUCGCUACCAUCGGUCCUCUGUCGCCUCCAGCAGCGCAUCGGCGACGGCGACGUCGAGCUGUUGCGGCAUCUACCGAGCCCACUCACGGAGUAACUCCUCAUGAUGCCCACUGAGCGAAUCCGGUCAGCUCCAUCCUCGAUGGCAGCAGAUCUGGGCUCGAGGGCAGCGGAUCCGAUUGGCCUACACCGGCUGCUCUGCGACGAGGCCUCCCAAGAUACGCGCGUGCCGCUGUUGAUGUGGUUGGACCGGUGGCUGCGUGUUCCACGCCCUCAUCCCUCUCAUGUGCCUCCAUGCUCACCCUGCCAUGCGCUCCUAUGACAACACUCUCCAUUUCGGUAGUCCGCAAAGAGGUCAAAGCCCUAUUUCAACCUGCCACUCUUCAUUGCCUCCAUGCCAACAUGGACGCCCCUCUGGUAGAGGUCCUUCCCCUGUCUUUCAUCUUGUGUUUCAGAUUUUUUUGGCAGAAAACUUCUUGAUUUUGCGUGUGACUUUGAAUUUGGUUCAGAGUUGUAGAAUUGGAUAAUUCUGACUUCCUGGGUGCUAUUCCAGAUUGAGGUAAUCCUAUUUGUCUAGUGGCUUUGAAAGUAGGGAAGUCAAUAAUUUCCAGUGGACACUAGUAGUUCAAGCAUUGAGAUGUCUGAUCUCCAGUCUCAACCAGACAUGUGGAUAGGUCGUGCAGAGCCUCUUGCUGUUGGGAGCAGAUAUUAUUGCAAUUACUUAUGAUAUCACUAACAGAUAAUCUUCAACUAAACUACACAAUAGAUUGGCCAGGGAGAACGAUAUAGCAUAUGGUUGUAUACACUUGAAAAAGGUCUAAAGUAUUAAACUUAGCAAUUUUUUUCUAAAAAAUUCUUACUACAUAUUGAUGCUGGAUAGUAAGGCAAAUUAAUGUUGUGAUUGAUUUCAGAUGGACGCUUUUCCAAUAUAGGUUAGAUGGGGCCAUGGUUAGUUCCAAUAGGGCUUGUUAAGAAUAGUUUCCGCAGUCUGCAUUUCCAUAGGUGUACAUGGACUUUCCAUUCUUAGUGUCUUUUUUUCCUUUUGUUUUCAGGAAGAUAAAUGAUUCUUUGUUAAUCUAAUUCACCACUGAGCUAAGAUGGCUAUAGAAUGAGGGAAUUUGUUUGGAUAAUCUAUGUCAAAGAGAGGGUUUUUGAGUUUCACCAUUUUGUUAACUUAAACAUUUUAAUUAAUUUGUCAGGCAAAGUGGUGCUUUUCAUUAUCUUUUUUGGGUAACAUUUUCUGUUUGUUUAUUUUCUUUACAGGCAAUCACUUCUAUGCAUUGGUUUUUCAUGUAUGGUUUAUCAUACUUCUUAAGCUCUAACAGAUUAUAUUUUCUCUCACAUCUCACAUAGGUAGUGUAGUUAGCAAGCUUUGAUUGUUAUUAGCAGAGAAGGGAGGGAGGGGGUCAAAGCAGGGAGUAUCUUGCAGCCAACAACAUGAGUGAGGUGUCAUGCAGGUGCGGCAGAUAACAAAUAAUGGUGCUGUGAAGAUCAGUUUCAAUUGUUUAUAAUGCCAUUCAGAAAGUUCCAUCGCCUAUCAAUGUGUUCACCCUCUAUGACUCAGGCAAUUUGAUAGAGUACAUGCAGGCAGGCGAUGCAUACUUCCUCAGCCUGUGAUCAGUAAUAUAAUUAUGCGGGUUGUUCUUGUCUUUAUCCAUCUCAAGAUUUGAUAUAUGUUGGAGGUAGUACAAUUUUGUGAUUAUUUGACAAAUUCUGUUCCAUUUGUAUUGUAGUCAUGUCAGCAAAAUGAUAGCACAUUUAGAUAUAUUCUUGGGUAGCA
Molecule: long non-coding RNA, 1873 nt
Organism: Sorghum bicolor (sorghum)
Lineage: Eukaryota; Viridiplantae; Streptophyta; Magnoliopsida; Poales; Poaceae
Exons: 2
Source: RefSeq, a predicted model, not a curated record